RNAcentral lists this ribosomal RNA (253 nucleotides) under uncultured bacterium. RNAcentral describes it as "partial 16S ribosomal RNA". It matches the Rfam family "Bacterial small subunit ribosomal RNA", at positions 524 to 776 of the family's 1533-position model. The record is from RNAcentral.
UACAGAGGUCUCGAGCGUUAGGCGGAAUCACUGGGCUUAAAGCGUGUGUAGGCGGGUCCGUAAGUACAUUGUGAAAUCCCACGGCUCAACCGUGGAACUGCUUGGUAUACUGCGGGUCUUGAGCCACUUAGGGGCAAGCGGAACAAACGGUGGAGCGGUGAAAUGCGUAGAUAUCGUUUGGAACGCCAAUGGUGAAAACAGCUUGCUGGGAGUGUGCUGACGCUGAGACACGAAAGCCAGGGGAGCAAACGGG